Non-coding RNA from Helianthus annuus (common sunflower), 107 nucleotides. NCBI's taxonomy places the organism in Eukaryota, Viridiplantae, Streptophyta, Magnoliopsida, Asterales, Asteraceae. The record is from Rfam.
AGACCAUGAUGUGGGCAUUUCCUUAAUAACUCUUUGAACAUUUUCCAUGUCUCAUACAAAGAUUCCCCGUCGUCGUGAGAGUAUGAAUUAAUUUCGGUCAUAAGUUU